UUUUUUUUUUUUUUUUUCCCUAGGGCCACUGCCUGCAGCAUAUGGAGGUUCCCAGGCUAGGGGUCAAAUCGGAGCUGUAGCCACCAGCCUACGCCACAGCCACAGCCACUCCAGAUCUGAGCUGUGUCUGCGACUUACACCACAGCUCAUGGCAACGCCAGAUCCUUAACCUACUGAGCAAAGCCAGGGAUCGAACCCGCAACCUUAUGGUUCCUAGUCAGAUUCGUUAACCACUGCACCACAAAGGGAACUCCUAAAAUCUUUGAUGAUAGUUUCCUUCAGCCUGGUGAUUCAGGGGUAAUGGAUCUUAUGUAGGAUUAUGGGAAAAUGUGGUUCUGUCCUUGAUGUUCAGAAAUGAUAGGGAUGGUAAGGACAACAAUAGUUAACAUUUAUGUGGCUUAAUAGGUGAGGCAUUAUACAUAGUCUCAUUUAAUCUAUACAACAACCCUUUAAUGUGGGUACUAUUAUUAUCCCCAUUUAAUAGAUGAGAAAACUGAAGCCCAGAGUAUAAGAAAUUUGACCCAAGGUACAUAGCCAGUAAGAGGAAUUCAGGAUUCAAACCAAGAGAGUGUAACCCUAGCUGAAGGGUUUGUUCUCAACCACAAGUCCAUGGAGUGCUAAUAAGAACUAGAUAACCAACAAAUUUUAAACUUGGAAAUGGACAAAAGGUUCAAAGAAAAUGUAUAGAAAUGUCACCGUGUUUAAUCAUGAUUGUAACUACACAAUGUUAAAAUAGCUGAUCAUUUUGAGAGAUCACUUACAUAAUUUUUUUUUGACUGCUUAAAUUCCUAGCUUCUUCCAGCAUUACAUUUACACUGUCUUUAAAAGUGCAUAAAAAUGGGCUUGCACGAAUCUACAUUUUUAAAUUUUUUUAUAUUUUGAAUUUUGAACUAUACUAUUACUCUUAUGAUGAAACUUUAAUAACAUCAUGUCCAUGAGGGUAAAAAAUUGGUACAAUUUAGUCAAUCGACAUUUUGAAAAGAAAAAAGGAAAAAAGGAAGGGUAGGUCUGGGGCUAAAACAAAUAGCCAAACUAAUUGUCACUUUCCAAGCCAGCUGGUUCAUUAUAUACAACUGAAACUUUCUUCUUGCCUCAAAAACAGUCCCGAGCUAUCCUGCACAAAACUGUGUGACCCAGUUUGCUUCUCCCUCCUUCCUAAUAAUCCCUUUCUUUUAACCCUCCUUGCAUUUGAAGCAUGGAUCUUUCUUCUGUGCUUUGUUCUAUUUUGGGAACAUCCAACUCUCAUCUGAAUCUUCUCAAAUCCUCUUCCUCCUCUUCUAAAGUUCGGCUUUAGAGAUGAUAAAACUAAAGGUGCCCCAAGUCUCACGAAAAUUAGAUAUAGUGAGGAGGAUGUGAAAGAAAAACCUGGGGAAAAAUUAAAACAGCAACCUUCUCUCUCACCUCCAGGUAGCCUUAAUGAGUCACAAAGGAAAUUCUCUGUCUGGAGGUUAUAAUUGUGUGAUUCUAAGUCUGUGGAUUAAGACAGUAUACUGAAGACACUCCACCCUGGGGUAUCUACCUAGCUCUUUUUUCCUCACAGAAAUUUUCUUUUUGAAGAGGUUGCUUCAUGAAUUAUAUACUCAGAAGGACAGGAAAACUAUUAAAAGUAGGUAACUUAAUAAAUAGACAAGUUCAGUCUAUACAACUUCAACCCAGCACUGGAGGCAGCAGGAAAGACUUGAGGGGGUUCUGAUAAUUGUCACAUUUCUGAUUCCACCCUGCUUUGACUUGGUGUGACAUUUCCUUCAUUAACUCAUUCCUAUGAAUUAAUUAUAUAGUGCAGAAAGGCAUUUGUGUCUAUCAAAAUUUACAAAAUUCACAAAAUCUUUGGUCAAGCAAUUCUACUUCUGGGAAUUUAGAAGUAAUUCUACAAGUGUGAAAGUUUGUGAAUGUAGAUGGCCAGGGCAGAGUUUUUAUGCUAGAGAAGAAAAAUUAGAAGCAAUUGAAUUAUCCAUAACCUUUGGUAAAAUAAACCGCAACUUUGUAGAACAUAAUAUUGCACAAUUGUUAAAAUUGUGACAUCAUGGUAUACUAACUAGCAAAGAAAAAUUUUCAUGACACAGUGCUAAGAGAAAAAACAGGUUAUGUAACUAUAGUGUAAAUCCAUUAAAAAGUAUGGGUUAAAUAUUUGACAUGUCUUUAUAUACACUAUAUACACAUUUUUGUGCAAUUUAAGUGUCCUAGGAUUUUAAAAUUUGAAAGAUGGGAGAUUAAGAUGGAGUAAAUGGAACUCAUACCCCUGUCCCCCACCAAUGAGUAAUUCUGAGAACUGGAAACUAGCAGAAUGACUCCUGUACAACCAAGGCUGUAAGAAAGACACAUGUAUAAUCAGGUAGGAAGGGAAGAAAGUGAUUGGUUCAGGACCUGGGCCCCUAGAAGGGACUCAGAGGAGAAAGAAGAUUAUAAGAGUGGAACUUGGGAGUGAGCAGAUCAAGCCAUAGAUGGGCAUCCCAGUUCUGGGAUCCUACAUGGAGUAGAUGAUAAGCCUCCAUGCCUGGCUGGAGGAACAUUGGGUCAGAUGGAAAGGCUGGAGAAGCCUGGACACUGCUCAUGUGGAGUGUGCAUGUGCUAACUCCUGAGGCAGGGUAGAGAAUCUGCCUGAGUGGCUGCCAGGUUGCCAGUGACAGCUUUGUUUCACUUCCCAGCCUGACCUUAGAGAAUGAUCUGGCCCCACUUACUCCCUACCACACUGCAGUAUUGGUUCUGGGGCAACCAGGACCACAGAAAAGAAGAGACCAUGAGAGACAGAGGUGACCCAUCCCAGGGAGGAGCCCAGGUGGUCAGCGGCAGCCACUGUUGGCACUUACUCAGGCAACAUAAUAGGAGCCCCCCACAUCACUGAUAGCAGGCCCUCUACCACAGCUAAUAUGCUAGUACAUGCUGAGAGUCCACACAGGUCCCUGUCAGACAUGCAGGAGUAGUUCUACAACAGGGCAGUGGUGGUAGAGGCAGGGAGAAUGAUUGGCUGUGAGAGACAAAGGGGGCUCACACCCAAGGCUGCAUAUGAAUGGAGUAGCAGACACCUAUACUCUCUGCAUCAGAUCUCUGUCUAUAUAUAGGUCCCACAAGCUUCAGCACACCCCUCUGGAAUGUAAAUCCCUGUGUAGGGAGAGGGAAAAACAUGCUUAGAACAGAGUCAGCUUGAACCCAACCCUUGGGGCGUCUGCUCCCACAACUUAGACCUUUACCCUGAAAAGGCAGUGAUGGCUACUGAGCAGUGAGGAAGUCUCUUCACACCUGGCAUCAGCUCUAUCCCCUCCAUCUCCAGCCCUACCCCCUAACAAGGUGAUAGCUGCCAGCACACCCUGAGGAAAGACGUGACUGGUAUCAAUGUCAAAUCCACCUCUCUCACGCAAGGCACUGGACACAUGCAGAGUGUGUAGGGGACGCUGCCACAUAAGAACACUUCUUCAGUACCAUAAUGAGUAACUGUUUCAUCUAAAUUCAUAGGAGCAGAGGAACUACUCAAACUUGAGAAAGAGCAAGAGAAAACCCCUGAAAAAAUAAUGACACAGAAAUAAUCUAUUAGAUAAAGAAUUCAAAACAUUGGAAAUAAAAAUGUUAAUUAAGGGAAAUAAUUGAUCAAAACAUUAAAAAUUUUAGCAAGGAACUAUAAAAUAUGAAAAAGACCCAAUGAGAAAUGAGUAAUUUGAUAGGAGAAAUAAAAAACACACUAGAAGGCAUGAAUAGCAGACUAAGUGAUACAGAAGAACACAUAAGUGAUUUGGAAGAUGGAGUAAUGGAAAUCACACAAUGGGGACAGGAGAAGGAAAAACAAAUUUUAAAAAUAAAAGCAAUUUGAGGUAUCUGGCAUAAUAUGAAACAUUUCAACAUUCACAUUAUCGGAGUUCCAGAAGGAGAAGAGAGAAGCAGACUGAAAAUGUAUUUGAGGAAAUUAUGACUAAAAACCUCCAAAACCUGAAGAUGGAAACAGAUAUAGGCAUGGGAAGCACCGAGGGCCUCAAGUAGGAUGAACCCAAACAGACCCACACCAAGACAUGACAUAUAAUUAAAAUGGCAAAAGUUUAAAGAGAGAUUUCUAAAGGCACCAAGAGAAGAACAGAGUCAUAUACAUAGAAGGGAUUCCCCAUAAGGGUGUCAGCUGACUUUUCUGCACAAAUACUGCAGGCCAGAAAAGUGGCAUGAUAUAUUCAAAGUGCUGAAAGGAAAAAACUAAUCUAGGAUGCUCUAUCCAGCAAGAUUAUCAUUUAGAAUAUGAGAGAUAAAGAACUUCUCAGAAAAGCAAAAACUAAGAGUUCAUCGAUAGUAACCUUACCCUAAAAGAAGUGCUGAAGGAUAUUCUUUAAAUUGAAUAGAAGUACAAAUCUACAGGAAAGGGAAAAAUACCACUAGGAAAGGCAAAUAUAUAGUAAGGGCUGAGAAUCAACCACAAAUAAACUAGAACCUAGAUUAAAAGACAAAAACAUUUGUAAAAGCAAUGAUAAAAAGACAGUUAAAGGAUAAGCAUGAAGAUUUAAAAGAUGCAUCAAAAAUGUAAAAAAUGUAGAUCUCUUAGAAUGCAUUUGAACUUAAAUGACUAUAUAGAUAUAAUUAUAGGUCAACACAUAUGAAUCUCUUGGUAACCACAAAUCAAGAACCUACAACAGAUCAGAGGAGGCAAGACGGCAGAAGAGUAGGGGGAUACCCUCGCCCUCUCCCACAAACACAAGAAAAAACACAUCUACAUGUUAAAUGACUUGCACAGAACAGCAACUAAAUGCUGGCAGAACUUAAACUUCCAAUAAUGGUAAGAAUCUCAUGACAUAACUGGGUAAAACAGAGAAAAAAGGAGAGUGAGAGAAGGGGAAUCGGGACCAGAGUGGCGCUCCCAAAAGGGAACUGUGGCAGAGAAAGGGAACCCAUGCCCUGGAAAGUCACCUAAUCAACAGAAAGAUCAACUGAGUUGGAGGGAUCUCCAGACACUGAGAAGAGCGUAGCAGUAGGUCUGAGAUCUGAAAAGCAGAGUGAGGGCCGAACAGAUCAUCUGAACUACUGGCACAGUCAUCAAAAACUGAGACAUUCAGGUGGAGGCUGGGCACCGAGACCUCGGCUCUGGAGGUUAGUCCCCAGGAGUGGGCUGGGGUUGGUGGUGUGGAGACAGCCUGGGGGACUAGGAGGAAGUGGUGCAUUGUGGGUGAAGGGAGCAAUUCGGUAAGGGCUGGGGAGUAGAAAGCCACAACAGAGGGAGCCACAGGAGAGACAAGGAGCCAGUGUUGGGGAGGAGGAGGGGCAGGCCACCAUAGAAUACUCCUUGUGCCCUAGCACGCAUGCUUGCCUGCCAGCUAGCAGAGAGCAGUGCUAUCCAGUGCACCCCCCCCCUUGCCUAUGCCACCCGUGCCUGACCUGAGGCCACCUGCCAUCCCAGAGGGCUGGCCUCACCACUUGCAGGAAGCUGACCACCUCAGGGGCUUUUCCUGCCCUGGCCUUCCCACUCUCUGGAGGGGCUACACUCCCAUGGAGCAGCGCCCAGCACCGCCCACCCCCUGGAAGAGCUCUGCAGCCCAGAAACACCAGAGUGAGCUCUUUCCAGCCAUGGGAAGUCGGUCUCCAUUGCAGGGCAGUCCUGCCAGUUCUGGUUGCCCUGGGGAAGCGCUCCCUUGUUUCUCAGCAGCCUGGCUAGCUGCUCCCACCCUUGGGAGGCACUGCACUCCUGCAGAGCAGCUGCCCAGAAUCGCCCACCCCAGAAGAGCUCCACAGCCCAGAAAUGCCAGAGCAAGCUCUUCCUGGCCAUGGGAAGUCUGCCUCGAUUGCAGUGCAGACCUGCCAGUCCUGCCUGCCUGGGGGAAGUCCUCCUUUGCUUCAGAGAGACCCUGUCAGCCCCGUCCAUCCUCUGAAAAUGCCCUGCUGCCUCAAAGAAGACCGGCCAACACCACCAUCCCUUAGGAAACACUCCACAGCAGUGCUAGGGCAAACCCUGCCCAGCCAUGGAGAGUGCACCUCCACCAAGAAAAAGAAAACAACAAGCAAGAUGAAGAAGCUCAGAAACCAUUCUCAGUUAAACCAACAGGAGAACUCACCUAAAGCAGUCAACAAUGAAACAGACCUCUGCAGUCUGACAGACUUGGAGUUCAAAAGAGAAAUAGUGAAAAUACUGAAGGAAUUAAGAGAAGAUAUGAACAAUAAUGCAAACACCCUCAGAAAGGAACUAGAAAAUAUGAGGAGCCAAGAACAACUAGAAAAUUCAUUUGCAGAGAUACAAACUGAGCUAAGGGCAGUAAAAACCAGAAUGAAUAAUGUAGAAGAAUGAAUUAGUGAUGUGGAAGAGAGAAUAAUGGAAUUCACCCAAACAGGACAGAAAACCCAAUGAAAAAAACAUGAAAGCAAUAUAAGAGAAUUAUGGGAUAAUAUAAAGCAGGCCAAUCUACACAUAACAGGAAUUCCAGAAGGAGAAGAAAAAGAUAAGGGAAUGGAAAAUAUAUCUGAAGAAAUUAUCACUGGAAACUCCCCAAAUCUGAAGGAUACUGAUAUCAAGAUACAGGAAGCACAGAGGGCCCCAAACAAGUUGGACCCAAAUAGACCCACACCAAGACACAUUAUAAUAAAAAUGGCAAACGUUAAUGAUAAAGAGAGGAUCUUAAAGGCAGCAAGAGAAAAACAAAAUGUUACCUAGAAGGGAACCCCCAUAAGGCUAUCAGCUGAUUUCUCUACAGAAGCUCUACAGGCCAGGCGGGAAUGGCAAGAGAUAAAGUGCUAAAAGGAAAAAAUAUGCAACCUAGAAUACUCUAUCCAGCAAGAAUAUCAUUUAAAAUAGAAGGGGAAAAAAUUUUUUUUCCAACAAACAAAAGCUAAAAGAAUACCACGAUACAAAACCCAGGCUAAAAGAAAUACUAAAAGGGCUUCUCUAAACCAAAAAGAAAGGAAAGAAAAAAAGAAAAAGAAGAAGAACUAGGAUUGAGGAAACCAUAAUCAGAGAGCAGUCACUCAAAUAAGCCAGCACACAGAUCUAAUUAUGAAGAUGUUUAAAACAAAAUAAAAUUAAAAAGAAAAAAAGAGACAUCAAAAUCAUAAAUUGUGGGCAAGGGAAGUAGGGAAAUAAAUAGAUUCUUUUUUUAAUUUUCUAAUUUUCUUUUUUUUAAUUUUAGUAUGGUAAUGGAGUGUUUGAACCUACAGGACUAUCAGGUUAAAAUACACAAUUAUAGGAAUGGGUUAACAUACUUAAAAAACAGGGCAACCGCAAAUCAAAACCAAACGUUACAUUCACAAAAAAUGAAAAGAAAAACACUCAAGCAGAAAAUAAUUGAGACCAUCUAACCAAAAAAAGAAAGAAAGGAUGGAGAAUCAUAGAAUCAACUGGAAAAUGAGGUUUAAAAUGGCAAUAAAUAAUCAUCUAUCAAUUACCACCUUAAAUGUCAAUGGAAUGAAUGCUACAAUCAAAAGACACAGAGUGGCUGAUUGGAUAAACAAGCAAAAACCUUCAAUCUGCUGCCUAUGAAAAACUCACCUUAGGACAAAGGACACAUAUAGAUUGAAAGUGAGGGGGUGGGAAAAAAUAUUUCAUGCCAAAGGACAUGACAGGAAACAGGAGUUGCAAUACUCAUAUCAGACAAAAUAGACUUUAAAACAAAAGUCAUAAAGAAAGACAAAGAAGGACACUAUUUAAUGAUUUAAGGAUCCAUUCAAGAAGAGGAUAUUACUAUCAUCAACAUAUAUUCCCCAAAUAUAGGAGCACCCAGAUACAUACAACAAAUACUAACAGACAUAAAGGGAGAAAUUAAUGGGAAUACAAUCAGAGUAGGAGACUUUAAUACCCCACUCACAUCAAUGGACAGAUCCUCUAGACAGAAAACCAAUAAAGCAACAGAGAUCCUAAAGAAAACAAUAGAAAAUCUGGAUUUACUUGACAUCUUCGGGACACUAUAUCCAAAAAAAAUCAGAAUACACAUUCUUCUCAAGUGCACAUGGAACAGUCUCAAAAAUUGAUCACAUAUUGGGGCACAAAGCUAACCUCAACAAAUUUAGGAGCAUAGAAAUUACUUCAAGUAUCUUCUCUGACCACAAUGGCAUGAAACUAGAAAUCAACCACAGGAAAAGAAGUGAGAAAAAACGUACUACAUGGAGACUAAACAACAUGCUACUAAAAAACCAAUGGGUCAAUGAAGAAAUCAAGAAGGAAUUACAAAAUACCUCAAGACAAAUGAUAAUGAAGGCACAACUGCUCAAAAUUUAUGGGACACCUCAAAAGCAGUGUUUAGAGGGAAAUUCAUAGCAAUGCAGGCCUUCCUCAAAAGAGAAGAAAGAUCUCAAAUUGACAACUUAACCCACCACUUAAAUGAAUUAGAAAAAGAAGAACAAAAAAGACCUAAAGUCAGCAGAAGGAAGGAAAUCAUAAAGAUCAAAGAUGAAAUCGAUAAAAUAGAGAUUUAAAAAACAAUAGAGAAAAUUAAUAAAUCCAAGAGCUGGUUCUUUGAAAAGGUAAACAAAAUUGACAAACCCUUCACUAGACUCACUAAGAAGAGGAGAGAAAUAAACAAAGAAACCCAAAUAAACAAAAUUAGAAAUGAAAAAGAAGAAAUCACAACGGAUUCUGCAGAAAGACAAAAUACCAUAAGAGAAUACUACGAACAACUAUAUGCCAACAAAUUUGACAAUCUGGAAGAAAUGGACAACUUUCUAU
This 8614-nucleotide long non-coding RNA is filed under the name Sus scrofa (pig). RNAcentral's name for it is "lncRNA (ENSSSCG00015032183.1)". Lineage: Eukaryota; Metazoa; Chordata; Mammalia; Artiodactyla; Suidae. The record is from RNAcentral.